This 495-nucleotide ribosomal RNA is filed under the name uncultured bacterium. Its description in RNAcentral is "partial 16S ribosomal RNA". It matches the Rfam family "Bacterial small subunit ribosomal RNA", at positions 28 to 507 of the family's 1533-position model. The record is from RNAcentral.
GACGAACGCUGGCGGCGUGCCUAAUACAUGCAAGUAGAACGCUGAAGGAGGAGCUUGCUCUUCUGGAUGAGUUGCGAACGGGUGAGUAACGCGUAGGUAACCUGCCUGGUAGCGGGGGAUAACUAUUGGAAACGAUAGCUAAUACCGCAUAAAAGUAGAUGUUGCAUGACAUUUGCUUAAAAGGUGCAAUUGCAUCACUACCAGAUGGACCUGCGUUGUAUUAGCUAGUUGGUGGGGUAACGGCUCACCAAGGCGACGAUACAUAGCCGACCUGAGAGGGUGAUCGGCCACACUGGGACUGAGACACGGCCCAGACUCCUACGGGAGGCAGCAGUAGGGAAUCUUCGGCAAUGGACGGAAGUCUGACCGAGCAACGCCGCGUGAGUGAAGAAGGUUUUCGGAUCGUAAAGCUCUGUUGUAAGAGAAGAACGAGUGUGAGAGUGGAAAGUUCACACUGUGACGGUAUCUUACCAGAAAGGGACGGCUAACUACGUG